This 1013-nucleotide long non-coding RNA is filed under the name Anser cygnoides (Swan goose). RNAcentral describes it as "lncRNA (ENSACDG00005011686.1)". The record is from RNAcentral. Lineage: Eukaryota; Metazoa; Chordata; Aves; Anseriformes; Anatidae.
NNNNNNNNNNNNNNNNNNNNNNNNNNNNNNNNNNNNUUCUCCCCCGGACCCAGACUCCUCCUUCUCCAUCUGUCUUCUCAUUUGGCUUCUGCUUGUUUUGCUCCCGAAUUUUUUCCCCUUUUUCUUUUUCCCUUUUUUUCCCUUUUUCUUUUUUCCAUUUUCCUUUUCCCUUUCAUUUUCCUUCCUUUUCUUUUUCUUUACCUUUUCACUUUUUCGUUUUUCCUUUUCUCUUUUUCGUUUCCUUUCAUUUCCUUUCAUUUUCCCCUUCCCCGUUUCCCGUUUUUUUUCUAUUUCUUUUUUCUUUCUUUUUCUAUUUGUCUUUUUCCUUUUUUAUUUUUUUCUCUUUUUUUUACUUUUUUAUUUUUCUCCCUUUUUUUACUUUUGUUUGUCUUGUUUUGCUUUGUCUUCCUUUUUUCUUUUCCUUUUUUUUUUGUUCAUUUCUCUUUUUCCUCUCUUUUCCCUUUUCCUUUAUUUUCUUUUCCCUUUUGCUUUUCCCCUUCUUUCUCCUUUUCUGUCGCUCUGCCCCCGCCCCCCCGCGGCGCGACACGCGAGCCGCACGCGUCCCAUCCGAGCUGCGCCCCCCCGGCCGCCCCCAGGGCUCUGCCCCCCUCGCCGGGGGCGCAGCCGGGGCCGGGCCCUGGCCCGGGGGGGCCGGGGGUGGGAAGAAGAGCCCUGGAAACGCCUUGCGGCUGUCCGGAGCGCCGGAGCCGCUCCCGAGGAAAUCUCCUGGGUUUGCAGCAUUAUCUUAAUUAAGAUAAUUGAUUCAUAUUGCACCUGCGAGAGUGCGGGGAAAGGAUGCGUCCCCAAAUAGCUCAAAGCUAUUGGAGAGGGGAAGCCGCGCUGUGAUUUAGCGAGUGAUUUACUGCCUGGGCGGCGCGGGCGGGCCGCGCUCUGCGCUCUCCGUCCCCAGCCAGGCACAGCCCGAAGGAUCCUAAAAACAACCCCCAACCAACCCAAAAGUGCCGCUGCCGCUGGCCCCCGGCCCCGCUCCGCACCGCGGAGCCGCGCUGGGA